CUCUGUUAGAAAAGUCCAGAAGCUGCCCCAUGUUAGAUAGGGGCCAGUUUCAGCUGGCUCCAAAAGAGAUAUGCUGAUGGCCAGAGCUGAGCCAGUUCCGUGCACCUCUUGGAGGCAGGAGCUGCAUGUAAUAACUUAACCAGAAAGAAUGAGAAUGAAUGCCUUGGUCCCAGAAGGAUAAGAAGAUAAAGAUAGGCUUACUGACAAGAUUAGCAUCAAAAGAUUCCUCCUUUUGAUACAGUUUCAAAAAGGUUUCUAUCAAACAGUUCCUUCUCAUCAAGUUGUACGUAUGACCGAACAUUUUGAUGCCAGGAAACUCCCGCCUCAACUUCUCUAGAACUGAAGAAACAAACUGACAUUCACAGGUUCCUGUCCCCAAAGAGAGUGCUGUGGUGUCUGGAGCUGGAGAAGGUGCAGCCGUCGAGGAUGUAAAGGCAGCAACAGAGCCAGACAUGCAGGAGACAGACCAAAAAAUGUGGAUUGCGAAUAGAGAACUGUCGAGCACCCAGGAAGAUGUAAGGAAGAUGUAAAUGAAAAUUAACCAGCAAGUGACUCUAUUCAGCGAACAGAUGUCACUUAGGAUCUCUUCUAAGUCUGGUUCAGAAGCAGCCCAAAGAAUAAUUUGCAAGCUGUAACACAUACUCUAUAAUAUAGUAAUGCCAUUGGGACUGACCUCCUCGCCUCUCUAAAUUCAAUUCUUCCGCAGACCUUCAAAUGCCAAAAUGAAGAGAAACGUGGAGCACUGCAGGGACAGGGGGCAGCACUCCUGAGGUCAGCAGCGUCUCUGGCUUUAGGCUACAUCUACAGUUUGACAUCCCUGGAAACCCGAAGGAGUGUUUUGGCAGUAAUAUGGAUGUGAAUUUACAGCUAAAGAGAUUAAUUCCUUGACAUCCUCUUUUCAAACUCAGGUGAAAGAGAAAUUUCUGUGUCUAGAGUAGCAAGAGCUUCUGUGAAACCAUAGCAAUAACUGCAAAAUUGUUUCAUCACUGUUCAAAGGCCUGCAGUGAAGCAUAUUCACGUGCCUUCUCUGUAAUAGACCUUUGAGCAGGGACAGGAUCAGCCUGUUUUAAGGUUUCUUUAAUACUGCUUAGAGAAAAUCCCACCAUUUACCACAUGGAAACUCUUGUGAAAUGUCUGGAAGAGCUAUAGAGCACAGGCUUGUGAAUACUGGAAGGGAAGCAAAGAGAAAAAAAGUAAGCUUUAAUUAAGAGUUUCUGCUAGAUCUCUUUAAUAUAUUGAGGUAACAAAUCUAGAUAGUACCUCAUCAUCCAAUAUUCAUAAUGCCUGAAUUCCACUUUUUAAGACUCCUCUUGGGCUGUGUAUGCCACUGAGUGUUGGUUUGUAUCAGUGCUCACAUCCUUCUUCUUGCCCCUUCCUGGAUUUAACAUGCAUAGUUUCUCUCAUUUCUUCAACUAAGACUGGUUUUGCAGUGCAAAACACACUAAUGAGUCCUACCUUGCAACUUCUUUGUAGUUCCUUUUUUCAUGAUUUGAUAGCUCUUCUAAGUAGUACAGAUUAUAGCAGCCGCCAAUAUUCAGCAUGGUGAAGAGUAUCCUGUGAGAGGGUCCCAGCCUUUACUCUUCUAUCAGAAAUAGAGCCAGCCACUUUCAGUAUUGUCAACAAUCUUGUGAGUCUUGUUUAUCCAUUAAGAUAGACUGUGAAAAGAAGCAUUUUUAGAGGAAGUUAAAAAUUAAAAAAUUAAAAAAAUUGUAGUUCAGCAGCCCAACUACUGAAGUACUACAUGGAAUCAUAGAAUAAGAACUUGAGAUAUUUAAACAAUAUUGGUAAAUUUUUGGCAUCUGAGUCAUACAAUUUCUUUGUCUGCUUGUCCUUUAUGAAAAUGAAAGAUAACACCCCAACUACAACCCGUGGUCCAUUGCUCUUCUACUCUUCCAGGAUUCACAAGUGUUUUUUUAGGGAUAUCAGAGGACACAUUCCUGCCUAUUCCCUUCCAUAUUGGUUAUGAACCAUCUGCCUAUAAAUUUGCCUAAUACUUUUUGAAACUCCGAUAAUAUUUUUCCUUUUUUUUGCCCUCCGGGUCAAAAAAAUGUGGAAGUCGAUUAUUCACCAUGAAAAAACACCUUGCUUUAUAUUAGCUAUCUUAAGUUAACGAUUAUAUUGCCUACUCCUUAGUUCUUUUACUGUAGGAUUUGGUAAGCAGCAGGUCUGCAUUUACCUCACCCGUUGCUUUCAUGAUUUUGAAAACAGAAUCACAGAAUGGUUCAGGUAGGGGCCUCCAAAAAAAGGGGCCUCCAAAGAUCAUCUAGUCCAACUCCCCUCCCAAACAGGACCACUUUGAGCACAUUGCACAGGAUGGCAUCCAGGCAGGUUUUAAAUAUCUCUUGAGAAAGAGACUUCACAACCUCUCUGGACAAACCUCAAACAGGUUUUCAUUCCAUGGUGGAAUUAUUAAUAAUAAUUAAAAUAUUGUUAUUAAAAUAUACAUUUUAAAUAUAUAAAAUGCCAUUGAAAUUUAAUUCAGUUACCAGAAAUGCUGAGGUCUCUCUGAAGAGCUGUGACAUGAUAUGUUUCUUAGGCCUUUUAUUCUCUUUUUGACAGCUUUGUUCUCAUACAUACUAAUAUGAUCAGGAGGGGUUCCUGCCUCAUUCUGCAUGUAAUUCAGCAAGAAAUCAUGACUUUUGUUUCAACAUUUUGUUCUGUUAAUCAGAUCAGAAAUGAACUCAGAGAUUCUUCAGCAGACAGAAAAUCAAAUUUCUUUUGGAGGUUUUAUGUCUGAGGUCUUAUGAUACUCUGGAUGUUUUCAUAAGAUAACUUCUCACAGGAUAAUCCUACAUAUAAAUGCUUUAUAGGGUCUCUACAUAAAAGCAAACAAUCUGAAAGCCUUAUAAAAUUAAUUACCUAAUUUAUCUUUGAAUUUGGAGAAUCAGAUAAAACUGAGGACACAAUGAGCAGUGCUUUGACAGUUGAAUGAGAAAGUGAUGUCUUCCUUUUUACAUUCCAGAACCAUUGGAUCUUUCUGUAUGCACAAAGAAUAACAGAAUCAUAGGAUGACAGAAUGGUUUGGGGUGGAAAGGACCUUAAGAGUUAUCUAGUUCCCAUAUCCCUGCCAAGAAUAGGAACACCUCCCACUAGACCAGGUUGCUCAGAGCCUAAUCUAACAUGGCCUUGAACACUUCCAGGGAUGGAGCAUCCAUAUCUGGGCAACCUGUUCCAGUGCUCCACCACUCUCUGAGUGAAGAAUUUCUUCCAAAGUUCUAAUCUGCAUCUCCCCUCUUUCAGUUUAAAGGCAUUCUCCCUUGUUUUAACAUUAUCUGACUGAAAAUAUAUUUGACUAUCUGAAUUAAAGCUUUUUAUGUAAUUGGUAGUGAUAAAUCCAUAUAAAUCUACCUUAUCAUUUCACAAGACUUCUUUUGUUGCUGGUUUUCCAUUUGGUAAGUGAUUUUAUUGAUUUUUUUUCCCAAAAUAUUUUCUCUUUAGUAUUGUCAGUAUAAUACAAUUUAAUCAGUGUCCCCCUUACUAUUAGCAUCUGUCUCUGUAACUGCAGAUACAUUAUUGUUUCAGGGGCUCUGCUUUUGUAAUGCAAAACAUAUUCAAGACUGCAGUGCAGUAAAAAGUACUUGGGACUUACCAAUAAAAGACUAGCUUACAUCUAAAAUAUGGAUAUGCAUAAUUAUUUGGAGGAGAAAAUAGAUUUCAUGAAAUAUUCUUGUAGAAUGUGCUCUAGCCACUUAAUCAUAUCCCAGAAAUAAAAUUGGUCUUGCUUAGGUCUCUUAGACCUUUGGUUACAGUAAACUACAAUCUGCCCUUAUGAACUUACAGACCUCGACACUUUAUGCCUGAUAACUUUGACUCUAUAAGGCUUAUGGUUUUACCAAUCAUACUGAUCAAAGUGAGCCCAAGGAAAUUUAGAAUGACUGUCAACCUUUCCCUUUUUAAUUUUACAACUUUUAUAUUCAGCACAUCUGACAAGAGACUCAAGUUUCAUUGGGAAGAACAACACUUCAAACAACAAGCCACUUUUCAUAUACAUUUACUGCAAAGAACGUAGAACACUUUCCUGGAAAAUUCAGGUUAAUAUGUUUCAUAACAGCUACAGAAAAUUUCCUUUCACCAAAUUUUCAUUUCACUUUUAAGACAAAAAUAAAAUCCUAUUCAGUAUUAGUAUGAAGGUUGUAACUGUUUUUGAUUGGUUGGUUUGUUCCCUUUUUCCUUUCCUGUAUAACAUUUUAAUAUUUUUCUGCUUUGUCUUUAAGGUUCUUUUCUUUGCUGCUCACCCAAGGGCAAGUUUUUCCAUAUGAAGAAUUGCAGUGUAACAAGCAGCUGUCAGAAAAGCAAAACAAUCAAAUAAGCAGACAAAAGCAUAGAUAUUUUUCUUUUCUUCCCCUUAAACAGACGCUUGUUCUGUGUAACAACAUAUCUUAUGUCUUUUAUCAUAUCAUAUCUUUUAUCAUGUUGCAGCUAAUCCUGCCAUGAGUAUAACAGAGCACUGAGAGAGAAAUUCUGUGAGGAAUUUACUGCAGGUGCAUAAAUAACAAACUAUCAGCUUAAAGCUUCAGGCAGAUAAGUUUAAUUACUACGUUGUAGUUUAUCUAAAGAAUUUUGCGCUUCAUUCUGGCUGUAAGACUGACAUAUAUUGACAUAGCUAACCAUAAGCCUUCAGUCACAAUCCUAUGAAGUAGGAGCAGCUCACUUUCAAACAUCCAUGGUGUAAUGGAUAAAUACAGUUCAGGCUGUAGAAGCAGAAGUUUUUAUUGGCUGUGAUCUAGGCAAUAAGCUCAGCUGUGAUAGUUUUGUAAAAAAUUGUUUCAUUUUAGGCAUCAUGCAACAACUGAAACAGUAUGAUACUCUAGCACAAAUUCCUUUUAGUAACAUAUACUAACUGUAAUUAGUAGCUAGUAGUGACUACCUAUCAGUGUUAUUUUAUCUUAAAAUUGGGUCAAGUGUUGCUGGGGUAAAAUAGACACAUAACGUUUUGACUUAAUGAUAGCUGAUGGGGCUACUGCUUUCUUGUCAAAAAGAAAACUAAGGUCCCACUGUUACUGACUGCACAAUGACACAGUGAGAGAAGACCUUUGCCAGCACCAAGUCCCAUGCAUCAUGGAAGUAUUUCUUAAGCCCUCAAAGUCUUAUUCUUAUCUUCAUUUCUUGAGUUAGCAAGUAUGGACAAAGAGAUUAGAAUUCUAUUCAGGAGAUUUUAAAUAAUUUAAUAAAAAGUCUUGUGAAUCAUAGGAUAUCAGGUUUCACAGUAUAUCCUCAGUUGACCUUAAUCCCUUCAACAAGGCUAUAAUUCACCUUGUAUGGAGGUAAGGUCAUGUUUUGAAUGGAAUUGCUCCAA
This is a non-coding RNA of Anas platyrhynchos (mallard), 5296 nucleotides long. Lineage: Eukaryota; Metazoa; Chordata; Aves; Anseriformes; Anatidae. The record is from RefSeq and is a predicted model, not a curated record.